Molecule: non-coding RNA, 21 nt
Filed under: Arabidopsis thaliana (thale cress)
Lineage: Eukaryota; Viridiplantae; Streptophyta; Magnoliopsida; Brassicales; Brassicaceae
Source: RNAcentral
CAAAACUGUUCACCAUUGCCU